GCUGGCAUGGCGGAAUUGGUAGACGCAAUGGACUUAAAAUCCAUCGGUAAAAACACACCAUACGAGUUCGAGUCUCGUUGCCAGUA
This 86-nucleotide transfer RNA is filed under the name Caudoviricetes sp. RNAcentral's name for it is "tRNA-Leu". It matches the Rfam family "tRNA". Rfam says of the family: Transfer RNA (tRNA) molecules are approximately 80 nucleotides in length. Their secondary structure includes four short double-helical elements and three loops (D, anti-codon, and T loops). Further hydrogen bonds mediate the characteristic L-shaped molecular structure. tRNAs have two regions of fundamental functional importance: the anti-codon, which is responsible for specific mRNA codon recognition, and the 3' end, to which the tRNAs corresponding amino acid is attached (by aminoacyl-tRNA synthetases). tRNAs cope with the degeneracy of the genetic code in two manners: having more than one tRNA (with a specific anti-codon) for a particular amino acid; and 'wobble' base-pairing, i.e. permitting non-standard base-pairing at the 3rd anti-codon position. The record is from RNAcentral. Lineage: Duplodnaviria; Heunggongvirae; Uroviricota; Caudoviricetes.